AUGCACGCCGGCGGCGUGCCUAAUACAUGCAAGUCGAGCGAACGGACGAGAAGCUUGCUUCUCUGAUGUUAGCGGCGGACGGGUGAGUAACACGUGGAUAACCUACCUAUAAGACUGGGAUAACUUCGGGAAACCGGAGCUAAUACCGGAUAAUAUUUUGAACCGCAUGGUUCAAAAGUGAAAGACGGUCUUGCUGUCACUUAUAGAUGGAUCCGCGCUGCAUUAGCUAGUUGGUAAGGUAACGGCUUACCAAGGCAACGAUGCAUAGCCGACCUGAGAGGGUGAUCGGCCACACUGGAACUGAGACACGGUCCAGACUCCUACGGGAGGCAGCAGUAGGGAAUCUUCCGCAAUGGGCGAAAGCCUGACGGAGCAACGCCGCGUGAGUGAUGAAGGUCUUCGGAUCGUAAAACUCUGUUAUUAGGGAAGAACAUAUGUGUAAGUAACUGUGCACAUCUUGACGGUACCUAAUCAGAAAGCCACGGCUAACUACGUG
RNAcentral lists this ribosomal RNA (496 nucleotides) under uncultured bacterium. Its description in RNAcentral is "partial 16S ribosomal RNA". It matches the Rfam family "Bacterial small subunit ribosomal RNA", at positions 29 to 507 of the family's 1533-position model. The record is from RNAcentral.